Molecule: ribosomal RNA, 450 nt
Filed under: uncultured bacterium
Lineage: Bacteria
Description: partial 16S ribosomal RNA
Rfam family: Bacterial small subunit ribosomal RNA
Source: RNAcentral
GUGGGGAAUAUUGGACAAUGGGCGAAAGCCUGAUCCAGCCAUGCCGCGUGUGUGAAGAAGGUCUUCGGAUUGUAAAGCACUUUAAGUUGGGAGGAAGGGCAGUAAGUUAAUACCUUGCUGUUUUGACGUUACCGACAGAAUAAGCACCGGCUAACUUCGUGCCAGCAGCCGCGGUAAUACGAAGGGUGCAAGCGUUAAUCGGAAUUACUGGGCGUAAAGCGCGCGUAGGUGGUUUUGUAAGUUGGAGGUGAAAUCCCCGGGCUCAAGCUGGGAACUGCCUCAAAAACUGCAUGACUAGAGUACGGUAGAGGGUAGUGGAAUUUCCUGUGUAGCGGUGAAAUGCGUAGAUAUAGGAAGGAACACCAGUGGCGAAGGCGACUACCUGGACUGAUACUGACACUGAGGUGCGAAAGCGUGGGGAGCAAACAGGAUUAGAUACCCCAGUAGUCC